This 884-nucleotide long non-coding RNA is filed under the name Zostera marina. RNAcentral describes it as "long non-coding RNA (ZMAR_LNC004324)". The record is from RNAcentral. Lineage: Eukaryota; Viridiplantae; Streptophyta; Magnoliopsida; Alismatales; Zosteraceae.
AAAGUACUUAAUAAUAAAACUCUCUUUGAAAUUUUACAUAAAACCAUACCCAAUUAUAGCUUUGGGUGCUUAUGCUAUACAACAAUCGAUCAAUCUAAGAGAAUACAAGUUCUCUCCUAGAACUUUUAAAGGGGUUUUCGAUCAUGGGUUAUCCUUCGGAAAUGGGUUGCUUGCGGAAGCGUUUUUCUCGAUUGAUACUAUCUUAUUUUCUACUGCCGGAGAUGUCGCUGAAGUAUUGAAGAAGACCGGCGAGUGAGCUUGCCGGAAUCGUCGCUGGAAUGAAGUGCGCAAGAAGAGGGGGAGAAAGUAGGGAUUUCCGUUUUAACAGAAAUACCCAAAAAUGUGUAAACAGUAAUUGUAUUGAAUUAUUAUUAGUUUACAACUAUUAGUUUUAUAGGAAAAAUUUUACAACAAACCCAAAUUGACUUAUCAAUAUUUUAACCAACUAAUAACAAAAUCAACUAACUAAUUCAUUUGUUAAUUCCUAAAACACAUUAGAAAAUUAAUUCCUUUAGUGUGGUCUCAUCUGAAACUACUAUUGCUGAUUUGAAGAAACAAGUCGCCAAACUCAAGGAAGAGAAUACGGGACUUAAGAGUGAACUUGCUAGCGCUAAAGAGGAGAUCUCGGCGCUUUCGAAAGAUAGUUCUGUAUUUUCUGGGAAGGCCGAAUAGUUGGAGUUGGAUGUGAGAUAUCAAUCCGAUCAACUCCAAGAACUCAUCUUCUUUGGACCUUCCGUGUUUCCCUCUCUACCCCUUGACUACAUCACGGACAUCAUGACAUGGGUAGAGCAGCCUCCUGAAGAGCUCGAAAAGAACAAGGAUGCUUUGGAUAAGAUGAAGGACGAAGCUGCUAAAGAAUAGAACAUUUUAGUCCUUAGAAUUUU